UAGGGAAUCUUCCACAAUGGACGCAAGUCUGAUGGAGCAACGCCGCGUGAGUGAAGAAGGCUUUCGGGUCGUAAAACUCUGUUGUUGGAGAAGAAUGGUCGGCAGAGUAACUGUUGUCGGCGUGACGGUAUCCAACCAGAAAGCCACGGCUAACUACGUGCCAGCAGCCGCGGUAAUACGUAGGUGGCAAGCGUUAUCCGGAUUUAUUGGGCGUAAAGCGAGCGCGGGCGGUUUUUUAAGUCUGAUGUGAAAGCCCUCGGCUUAACCGAGGAAGCGCAUCGGAAACUGGGAAACUUGAGUGCAGAAGAGGACAGUGGAACUCCAUGUGUAGCGGUGAAAUGCGUAGAUAUGUGGAAGAACACCAGUGGCGAAGGCGGCUGUCUGGUCUGUAACUGACGCUGAGGCUCGAAAGCAUGGGUAGCGAACAGGAUUAGAUACCCUGGUAGUCCAUGCCGUAAACGAUGAAUGCUAGGUGUUGGAGGGUUUCCGCCCUUCAGUGCCGCAGCUAACGCAUUAAGCAUUCCGCCUGGGGAGUACGACGCAAGGUUGAA
This 551-nucleotide ribosomal RNA is filed under the name uncultured bacterium. Its description in RNAcentral is "partial 16S ribosomal RNA". It matches the Rfam family "Bacterial small subunit ribosomal RNA", at positions 355 to 898 of the family's 1533-position model. The record is from RNAcentral.